UAAUGCGAUUUGGGGAUUAGGGAUUUGAAUGGGGUUUAUUCUUCUUUUCAACCUUCUCUGCAUAGAUGCAUUGACCUAUUUGAAUGCUAUUGGUGAUUCAAAAGCAUUCCUCANAGAUGAAGAUGACAAGAAGAAUGAAGGUAUUUCUUGNUCGUUCAAGUGUAUUUCAUUGCUACUUAANAAUUGAGAAGCAGCAGUCAAGUCUGUUUAAUCUUCUACAGAAAUUCAUUGGGAGCUCUGAAAAUGGAAUGAGUUCUUUAGAGACUCGUAUGCAUGGCCUCUAGUUGGCAUUGGAGGAUAUAUCUUAUGAUUUGGCUGUAACUAGUGGAAGGAUAACUAAAUUUGAUGCUGAAGUGUCAUGAUUCUUAUUUGUCUGUUAUUUCCCACAGGUUUUAUGCAAAUCUCAUCUCGUAGAGUUUGCUUCAUACUUUCAUUAUUGUCACUCUCUAACCUUUGAUCAGCGACCUGAUUAUGGAUUCUUGAAACGCCUGUUUCGGGAUCUAUUUGCUCGUGAAGGUUAUGAUUUUGAUUAUGUAUUUGAUUGGACUAUUUUAAAGUACCAGCAAACACAAAAGAAUAGGGCCAAACCUCGCAUGUCUACGAUCCCUAGAGCAAGCAACAGUCCUGCAGUGCCAAUGGAUGUGGAGAACAAUCGAGGUGACCGGCUUUUGUUCUCUGCCGAACACAGGUGGUUACUACGAUUAUUAAUAGCCACCAACUGGAGAUUGUAACAUUAGCUAAUCUAUCCUCGUUGACAAUAAGUGUCACAUUUUGCUUUUGUGUUUUCUUCUCAUGUAUUCCCCCUGUAUUUUGCUUCUCUAUUUUUUUCACUUUUAAUGAUUGAUUAUAUGAUUCACAGGUAAUCUCUGAAACUGAUGUUGUUCCAUAUGGAUAUGAUGAUGCUGUUGUGAAUGAGAGCAUUUCUGUUUAUUUAGAAUUACAAGGAACUAAUUCUACAGAGGCAGAACAAGGGAAGAUCAAGAAGAUAGAAGAGCUGAGGAAGCAAAUAGAAAGACUAGAGAAGAUUAUGAAUGCUCCAGGUUAUGAAGAGAAGGUUUUGCCAAAUGUUCGAGCAAAGAACCAGGAAAAGCUAGAUUCCCUAAAGGAGCGUUUAUUGCUUGAGGAAAUGGUCUGAAUCUCUAGCUUCUAAGAAUUGAAGCUCGAGGUUUUAGAUUAAAAAAAUGAGCUUUUUUACAGUAUUGUUGAGUUUCAUGGGAAUCUUCGAUUUUCAACUAAGCUCCUCACUAGGUAUCUAAACUAAGUAGUUCUUGUACAUGUUAAAUAAUUGAGUAUUUGCAGUAUAAACUGUAAUGAAGUGUAUAAUCUUUUAUUUUUAAUUCCCCUAGAAAUUAUUUAUUUUAGUUCUUUAUAUAUCCAAUUCUUUUAAUAGUUCAGUUACAUACACUUUUCAUUUUGUGCUAGUUUUUAUGGUUUAUGAACGUGAGAGACUAAAAGGAUAUAUCCAGUGAUAGUGUAAAAUUAUUGGACUAUUUACAGAUAUGUUAAUUUGUUUUCAUAUAUGUCUUAGUUAUGCUAUACUGGACAUUUUAUAAGCUAUUUUUAUUAGUUUUUCCUAACUUGCAUACGUGCAUAAAAUAAGAUUCAACAAAACUUAUAACCAUAGUUAAUGUUGGGUUCUUUAAGAGGAAGUAUCUGAAACAUUCGGCACGAAUCAACCAUGAGGCAACCCAUAUAAGAAAACUCCAACACCAGCUCCAACCAUAUUUUGUGUUGUUUUUUAGAUGAUAUCGACAUGUUUAUUUUCCUUUCUCCAUCUUGGUUUUGUAGAGUCUUGUUUGAUAUCACCUUUGGUUACAUUUUGUUCUGCAUUAU
This is an RNA transcript of Vigna radiata var. radiata (mung bean), 1833 nucleotides long. It is a transcript of the gene named valine--tRNA ligase, mitochondrial 1-like, with no coding region annotated. Lineage: Eukaryota; Viridiplantae; Streptophyta; Magnoliopsida; Fabales; Fabaceae. The record is from RefSeq and is a predicted model, not a curated record. The transcript has 8 exons.